RNAcentral lists this unclassified non-coding RNA (334 nucleotides) under Hevea brasiliensis (rubber tree). Lineage: Eukaryota; Viridiplantae; Streptophyta; Magnoliopsida; Malpighiales; Euphorbiaceae. The record is from RNAcentral.
GGCGUACCUUCAGCACCAAGAACCCUUAUAGGCAAGCAAUGGAGAUCAUAUAGUCCUGGUUUAAUGUCGUCAAGUUUUAAGCCCUCCACAAUAACAAUUUCCCUGCUUUUCAAUAAGACACGAUGUGUUUGAACGAGAUCAGUAUAGGCAGCAACCGACAAGUAAUCAAGUCCAACAAGUUUGUGUUCUGUACCAGCCAUUUUGCCCCAUCACUCAGGAACCCAACAUAGCUGCUAUCGAACUCCUUUUUGAACAUAAGCUUCCUAUCAGUAUUUAAUGUUCUGAAAAGCACACGAUGUAUUCCUUUAGGAAUUUUCAGAGACUUCACCACUUC